This 207-nucleotide long non-coding RNA is filed under the name Carica papaya (papaya). RNAcentral describes it as "long non-coding RNA (CPAP_LNC000292)". Lineage: Eukaryota; Viridiplantae; Streptophyta; Magnoliopsida; Brassicales; Caricaceae. The record is from RNAcentral.
AUUUUAUACGAGAUCAGUAAUAAGUAAAGCUAACUCAAAAAACUUACUAAUGUAUCAAAUUAAUUAAACUUAUAAGAUCAGUAAUAAGUUAAGCUAAUAUUACGAAGUAAAGUUUGUAUGAGAAUAUAAUCAUUUAAAAUGCUCACAAGACGCUAAAUGUUGUGACCAUAUAAACCUUUAGUUUACAGUUUAGAGUGUUAUCAUUAU